GCGCCAGUAGCUCAGGUGGUAGAGCAGCUGACUCUUAAUCAGCGGGUCGUGGGUUCGAGUCCUACCUGGCGCACCA
Molecule: transfer RNA, 76 nt
Filed under: Neomoorella mulderi
Lineage: Bacteria; Bacillati; Bacillota; Clostridia; Neomoorellales; Neomoorellaceae
Description: tRNA-Lys
Rfam family: tRNA
About the family: Transfer RNA (tRNA) molecules are approximately 80 nucleotides in length. Their secondary structure includes four short double-helical elements and three loops (D, anti-codon, and T loops). Further hydrogen bonds mediate the characteristic L-shaped molecular structure. tRNAs have two regions of fundamental functional importance: the anti-codon, which is responsible for specific mRNA codon recognition, and the 3' end, to which the tRNAs corresponding amino acid is attached (by aminoacyl-tRNA synthetases). tRNAs cope with the degeneracy of the genetic code in two manners: having more than one tRNA (with a specific anti-codon) for a particular amino acid; and 'wobble' base-pairing, i.e. permitting non-standard base-pairing at the 3rd anti-codon position.
Source: RNAcentral